Long non-coding RNA from Myotis daubentonii (Daubenton's bat), 624 nucleotides. RefSeq lists it as uncharacterized. The transcript has 2 exons. NCBI's taxonomy places the organism in Eukaryota, Metazoa, Chordata, Mammalia, Chiroptera, Vespertilionidae. The record is from RefSeq and is a predicted model, not a curated record.
CUUGCAGAUGGCUGCCUUCUCACUGUGACCUCAUAGGACCUUUCUUCUGUGCACAUGUGAAGAGAGUGAGUGAGCGAGCCCAGGUAUCCCUCUAGCUCCAGCCCUGCGAGGGAGAAGUCUGCAAAGGAAGAAGGGCCCGUGCCCACGGUUCAGUCUCAGAUGCUGGGCUGUAUAUUUAUCAGGAUGCCUAAAUGGCAGCAAAAGGAGUAGGGGCAGACGGGAAGAUGCAAAACCAUUACAUUGCUCCAGGGGACCAGUACCCUGCUCAAUGAAUUGUUCCAGACUUUUUACGGUCCGAAUUGUGUGCCCUGAAAAAUCCUAUGUCGAAGACCUGACCCACAGUACCUCAGAAAGUGGAGAAAGAUCUAUCAAGAUUCAGAUGAAAGCGACUAAGUUAAAACGAAGCUGUUGGAAUGAACUCUAAUCUGAUAGGUCCAGUGCCCCCACCAGGAGUGGCCGAGGCCCCAGGGAUGCACCUGCACAGAGGAAAGGAUGCGAGGGCACAGCGAGAAGGCGGCCCGCUGUCUGCAGGCCCGGAGACCUCAGGAGAAGCCAACCGGCUGGCGCUUUGAUCUUGGACUUUGGCCUCCAGAACCAUGGGAAAAUAAACGCCUGUGUGCUGAA